GCAGUGGUGGUUCAGUGGUAGAAGUCUGACUUUCCAUAUCAGAGACCCAGGUUCAAUUCCUAGCCAAUGCA
Molecule: transfer RNA, 71 nt
Filed under: Loxodonta africana (African savanna elephant)
Lineage: Eukaryota; Metazoa; Chordata; Mammalia; Proboscidea; Elephantidae
Rfam family: tRNA
About the family: Transfer RNA (tRNA) molecules are approximately 80 nucleotides in length.
Source: Rfam by way of RNAcentral